RNAcentral lists this ribosomal RNA (466 nucleotides) under uncultured bacterium. Its description in RNAcentral is "partial 16S ribosomal RNA". It matches the Rfam family "Bacterial small subunit ribosomal RNA", at positions 28 to 507 of the family's 1533-position model. The record is from RNAcentral.
GAUGAACGCUGGCGGCGUGCUUAACACAUGCAAGUCGAACGAUGAAGCCCAGCUUGCUGGGUGGAUUAGUGGCGAACGGGUGAGUAACACGUGAGUAACCUGCCCUUCACUCUGGGAUAAGCCUGGUAAACUGGGUCUAAUACCGGAUAGGAGCGUCCACCGCAUGGUGGGUGUUGGAAAGAUUUAUCGGUUUUGGAUGGACUCGCGGCCUAUCCGCUUGUUGGUGAGGUAAUGGCUCACCAAGGCGACGACGGGUCGCCGGCCUGGGAGGGUGACCGGCCACACGGGGACUGAGACACGGCCCAGACUGCUACGGGAGGCAGCAGUGGGGAAUAUUGCACAAUGGGCGCAAGCCUGAUGCAGCGACGCCGCGUGAGGGAUGACGGCCUUCGGGUUGUAAACCUCUGUCAGUAGGGAAGAAGCGAAAGUGACGGUACCUGCAGAAGAAGCACCGGCUAACUACGUG